Camelus ferus (Wild Bactrian camel) is the source of this 73-nucleotide transfer RNA. It matches the Rfam family "tRNA". Rfam says of the family: Transfer RNA (tRNA) molecules are approximately 80 nucleotides in length. Lineage: Eukaryota; Metazoa; Chordata; Mammalia; Artiodactyla; Camelidae. The record is from Rfam.
GAGGGUAUAGCUCAGUGGCAGAGCAUGUGUUCAGCAAUGCACGAGGUCCUGGGUUCAAUCCCCAGUACCUCCA